Molecule: small RNA, 28 nt
Filed under: Bombyx mori (domestic silkworm)
Lineage: Eukaryota; Metazoa; Arthropoda; Insecta; Lepidoptera; Bombycidae
Description: ovarian small RNA-35463
Source: RNAcentral
UGUAUAUUGACACUGAAGCCGCCACAGG